GGGAAUAUUGGGCAAUGGGCGCAAGCCUGACCCAGCAACGCCGCGUGAAGGAAGAAGGCUUUCGGGUUGUAAACUUCUUUUCUCAGGGACGAAGCAAGUGACGGUACCCGAGGAAUAAGCCACGGCUGACUACGUGCCAGCAGCCGCGGUAAUACGUAGGUGGCAAGCGUUAUCCGGAUUUACUGGGUGUAAAGGGCGUGUAGGCGGGAAAGCAAGUCAGAUGUGAAAACCAUGGGCUCAACCUGUGGCCUGCAUUUGAAACUGUUUUUCUUGAGUACUGGAGAGGCAGACGGAAUUCCUAGUGUAGCGGUGAAAUGCGUAGAUAUUAGGAGGAACACCAGUGGCGAAGGCGGCUUGCUGGACCGUAACUGACGUUGAGGCUCGAAAGCGUGGGGAGCAA
RNAcentral lists this ribosomal RNA (400 nucleotides) under uncultured bacterium. Its description in RNAcentral is "bacterial SSU rRNA". It matches the Rfam family "Bacterial small subunit ribosomal RNA", at positions 357 to 771 of the family's 1533-position model. The record is from RNAcentral.